CGGCGUGCCUAACACAUGCAAGUCGAACGGGCGGAUUCGGAAGACCUCGGGUGCGGACGGUUCGCUAGUGGCGAACGGGUGAGUAACGCGUGAGCAACCUGCCUUUCAGAGGGGGACAACAGUUGGAAACGACUGCUAAUACCGCAUAACACGUAAAGAUCGCAUGGUCAUUACGUCAAAGAUUUCAUCGCUGAAAGAUGGGCUCGCGUCUGAUUAGAUAGUUGGUGGGGUAACGGCCUACCAAGUCUGCGAUCAGUAGCCGGACUGAGAGGUUGAACGGCCACAUUGGGACUGAGAUACGGCCCAGACUCCUACGGGAGGCAGCAGUGGGGAAUAUUUGGGGCAAGUGGGGGAAACCCUGACCCAGCAACGCCGCGUGAAGGAAGAAGGCUUUCGGGUUGUAAACUUCUUUUACCAGGGACGAAGGACGUGACGGUACCUGGAGAAAAAGCCACGGCUAACUACGUGCCAGCCGCCGC
Molecule: ribosomal RNA, 479 nt
Filed under: uncultured bacterium
Lineage: Bacteria
Description: bacterial SSU rRNA
Rfam family: Bacterial small subunit ribosomal RNA
Source: RNAcentral